AGGCGCUACGGGUUCGAGCACCUGGAGAAGGCGCUGGUGUCGCGCCAGCAGUACGGCGACGCCUCCUCCAGCAGCGACGACGAGCUCGUGAUGCAGUACAACGGCACCACCACCGCCAUCACAUCUAAGGCCAAAAAGAAGCGUUCCCGGUACAGCAAAGCGGCGGCCAGCAACGGCGGUGGCGGGGCGGCGGCCGUCGUGCCGUACUACGACACCUCGUCUGAUGAGGACGAGCUCUUCCUUAGGGCCACGAGAUAGUCUUCCUGCCUCACCUGCCUCAACUCUUCCUGCCUCACCUGCCUCAACUCUUCCUGCCUCAACUCUUCCUGCCUCAACUCUUCCUGCCUCAACUCUUCCUGCCUCAACUGCCUCAACUCUUCCUGCCUCAACUCUUCCUACUUCAAACAUGGAAAAUUCAUUGUAUUUGCAGUUUCCUUUCUUGGAAUCAUAAAAUCUUUCUGUAAAUUUAUCAUUUAUAUUCCGCCUUUACAACAAGGAAAUUCCUUAAAUUGCUGUUUCCUUUUUUAGAAUAAAAAAAUUCAUCUAUGCUGUGA
Long non-coding RNA from Hyalella azteca, 554 nucleotides. RefSeq lists it as uncharacterized. The transcript has 2 exons. The record is from RefSeq and is a predicted model, not a curated record. NCBI's taxonomy places the organism in Eukaryota, Metazoa, Arthropoda, Malacostraca, Amphipoda, Hyalellidae.